Molecule: ribosomal RNA, 1325 nt
Filed under: marine sediment metagenome
Description: bacterial LSU rRNA
Rfam family: Bacterial large subunit ribosomal RNA
Source: RNAcentral
AACUCACGAGGCUGGAGAACCAAGAAAAACCUCUAAGAUAUAGCUGUGCGGAAUCCGUACCGCAAACCGACACAGGUGGACUAGCUGAGAAGGCUAAGGCGAGCGGGAAAACCUUCCUUGAGGAACUCGGCAAAUUGGCCCCGUAAGUUCGCGAGAAGGGGUGCCCUCCAAAGCUUUAUGCGGCGGGGGGUCGCAGUGACAAGGCUCAAGCGGCUGUUUAACAAAAACACAGGUCUCCGCUUAACCCGUAAGGGGAUGUAUGGGGGCUGACGCCUGCCCGGUGCCAGUAGGUUAAGGGGAUGGGUGCCCAACUUCGGUUGGAAGCUUUGAACUUAAGCCCUGGUGAACGGCAGCAGUAACUAUAACUGUUCUAAGGUAGCGAAAUUCCUUGUCGGGUAAGUUCCGACCCGCACGAAAGGCGUCACGACUUGAGCGCUCUCUUAAGGAAGGACCCGGCGAAAUUGAAAUGGCCGUGAAGAUGCGGCCUACCCACAGCAGGACAAAAAGACCCCGUGAAGCUUUACUACAGCUUGACAUUGAUUUGAUCGUCAAACCCGUGUAGCGUAGGAGGGAGCCGCAAGGCGCCAAUGAAACACCUCCCGGUUUGAUUUUCCGAUCUCACCCUGGCCGUGAUCCGGUCAGUGGACAGUGUCUGGUGGGUAGUUUAACUGUGGCAGUUGCCUCGCAAAGAGUAACCGAGGCGCCCAAAGGUCGGCUUGGUCCCGAUGGACACGGGACUGUAAGUGUAAAGGCAGAAGCUGGCUUAACUGCGAGACUGACAGGUCGAGCAGAUGCGAAAGCAGGGCUUAGUGACCUGUUCACAUCAAGUGGCAGAGUGAACAACUACGAAUAAAAGCUACUCCGGGGAUAACAGGCUGGUCUCCCCCAAGAGUCCACAUCGACGGGGAGGUUCGGCACCUCGAUGUCGGCUCGUCCUAUCCUGGGGCUGAAUAAGGUCCCAAGGGUUCGGCUGUUCGCCGAUUAAAAGGGCACGUGAGCUGGGUUCAGAACGUCGUGAGACAGUUCGGUCUCUAUCCGCUGUGGGCGUAAGAAGUUUCUGAGGGAAUCUCUCUCUAGUACGAGAGGACCGAGAGGGGCAAACCUCUGGUGUACCAGUUGUUCUACCAAGAGCAUCGCUGGGUAGCUACGUUUGCACGGGAUAAGCGCUGAAAGCAUCUAAGCGCGAAGCCCACCCCAAGAUGAGAUCUCCCCGGGACUUCGGUCCCCUGAAGGGCCGUCCGAGACGAGGACGUUGAUAGGCCGGAGGUGGAAGCGCAGCAAUGCGUGCAGCUGACCGGUACUAAUCGCCCGUGAGGCUUGACCAC